CCCUGCCCUUUGUACACACCGCCCGUCGCUCCUACCGAUUGAAUGAUCCGGUGAAAUCUCCGGAUGGUGAUGCAUAACUGUGGGGGCAACCUUACAGUAGCAUUGUCAGAAGUUGCUUAAACCUUAUC
This 128-nucleotide ribosomal RNA is filed under the name uncultured eukaryote. Its description in RNAcentral is "partial small subunit ribosomal RNA". It matches the Rfam family "Eukaryotic small subunit ribosomal RNA", at positions 1651 to 1770 of the family's 1831-position model. The record is from RNAcentral.